GCCUCAAUAGCUCAGCUGGUCAGAGCACAUGACUGUUAAUCAUGGGGUCCUAGGUUCAAAUCCUAGUUGAGGCGCCA
RNAcentral lists this transfer RNA (77 nucleotides) under Bacillota bacterium. RNAcentral's name for it is "tRNA-Asn". It matches the Rfam family "tRNA". From Rfam's summary of the family: Transfer RNA (tRNA) molecules are approximately 80 nucleotides in length. Their secondary structure includes four short double-helical elements and three loops (D, anti-codon, and T loops). Further hydrogen bonds mediate the characteristic L-shaped molecular structure. tRNAs have two regions of fundamental functional importance: the anti-codon, which is responsible for specific mRNA codon recognition, and the 3' end, to which the tRNAs corresponding amino acid is attached (by aminoacyl-tRNA synthetases). tRNAs cope with the degeneracy of the genetic code in two manners: having more than one tRNA (with a specific anti-codon) for a particular amino acid; and 'wobble' base-pairing, i.e. permitting non-standard base-pairing at the 3rd anti-codon position. RNAcentral also lists the same sequence under 2 other names. The record is from RNAcentral. Lineage: Bacteria; Bacillati; Bacillota.